Molecule: ribosomal RNA, 253 nt
Filed under: uncultured bacterium
Lineage: Bacteria
Description: partial 16S ribosomal RNA
Rfam family: Bacterial small subunit ribosomal RNA
Source: RNAcentral
UACGGGGGGAGCAAGCGUUGUUCGGAUUUACUGGGCGUAAAGGGCGCGUAGGCGGCGCAACAAGUCACUUGUGAAAUCUCCGGGCUUAACCCGGAGCGGCCAAGUGAUACUGUCGUGCUAGAGUGCGGAAGGGGCUACUGGAAUUCUCGGUGUAGCGGUGAAAUGCGUAGAUAUCUGGAGGAACACCGGUGGCGAAGGCGGCGGGCUGGACUGCAACUGACACUGAUAAACGAAAGCCAGGGGAGCAAACGGG